Molecule: non-coding RNA, 5944 nt
Organism: Equus caballus (horse)
Lineage: Eukaryota; Metazoa; Chordata; Mammalia; Perissodactyla; Equidae
Source: RefSeq, a predicted model, not a curated record
CUACAAAUAGCAGCAGAGCAUUGUCUGAUAUAGUGCCAAAAGAAUCAUCCUUCACUUUUCAAUAUUUUGAUCAACUUGUCUGUCUCUGCUCCAAUUUCUUCAUAAUUGUUCUCCAUCAGAGGGUCCUGAAGAGAAGCUCUAAUUCUCUGCUCUUUAUGGAGCAUCUUAACAAAAAAGAGGUCAUGCGAGCACACAGAUAGAAGGAAGCUGUCUGAAAGCCAAGGGGAGAGCUUUCACCAGACACCAACCCUGCUUGGCACCUGGAUCUUGGACUUCCAGUCUCAAGCACUGUGAGAAAAUAACUUUCUGUUGUUUAAGCCACUCAGUCUCUGGUGUUUUGUUAUGGCAGCCCUAGCAGACUAAUACACUCCUCAAAAUGAAGAAAGCUGUUUUACUCUUCUUUGAAUCUCAAAGAGGAUUAGAGCAUAAAAUAACUGCUAGGUGAAUUGAUUUGAAAGUUGAGUUACUCCCUCCCCUCCUCUUUUUGUGUUCCCAAUCAUAUUAUAUUUCAACUAUUGUCAAUUUGUCAAUAUUAUCGCAUCUUUUCAUAAUAGUUUCCUUCCAUGUUUUUCUCCCUUACUAGACUGUGAAAAAGGGAAGGAGCUGUGCCUUAUUUAGUCUUGUAUUGUCCCAGUAGUAAGAGAAACUUAGGAAUGACAAAUACUGCCAGUUACUUACCCAAAAUCCAUUUUCCCAUUAUUUUUCUGCUAAAAUAACCACUUUCUUAGACUGCCUUUCAGAUAGAGAACCUAUGUGAAUAUGACUCAAUUCUGGACAAUGGAUACAGGGAAAGAUUUUUUUCCUCUUUUAUUGCUGCCUAUUACUUUUUUCCCCUAUUUCUUACACUUCCAGCCUGUAAUUUGCAUGUGAGGCUGGAGUAGUAUAUAUCUUGCUAUCAUGAGCUGAUAGGCAUGAAGACAAAAGCCACAUGUUAUGAAUAAUGGAAUUGAAAGAUAGUAGGAAGCUGGGAAGUUGAUGAAAUACUGGAGUCACUGCAUCAGUCCUAGCCUGCUUUCCUCUGGACUUCUUGUUUUGGUGUGGGGGACAAAACCUUAUUUUAUCAAGCACAAUAUUGAGGUCUCUUUUACUUGCAGAUGAAUACAAUUUUUAAUUGAUACAGUAGAGGAUCAAUAAUGUUUGUUGAAUUGAACUGAGAGGAUAUGGACAGUAUUGCCAAAGCUGAUGGGGAAAAUAUUCCAGUUAGAUAUGUUCACCAAAUGCAGAAUUUGGGGCUAGAGCUGGGUCAUGCUAUAGAGUUAAGGAUAAAAAACAAUCUAGAUGAUCUAUGGAACACCUAAGAAUGGCAACAUUCUUUGUUUCAGGGGCCUCAUAAUACAUUAAUGAGUCAAUAAUAACUGCAAACUGGUAAAAAAUAAAAAUUCAGUCGGGGGAAAAACAGCAAUAUUGAGGGUUUUUUGAACAUCCCACAGAAUUUUGAAGUGUCAUUAAACAGACAAUGUUUAUGGAAAUAGAAAGCAUUAAAAGAUUUACACGGGAUUAAUAUAUCAGGUUAGGUUAAGGAGAGAUUAAGGUAAAAUAAUAGAAAUAAGAAAUAUGUGGGGCAGACCAAAAAAAAAAAAUCAUCCCCAGAUAUUAGUAUUGACCACACGAGAGAGAACUGCACCAGAGACAGAGAGCAAUCAUGGAGAGCGCUUGAACAUAUAAUAAUAAUGGGAGGUACUCUAAUCUUAGUACUUAAUGUAAGACAAGCACUAUACUAUGUAUUUAACAUAGUAUCUUAUUCAAUUCUUACAGAAAUUCUCUGAAUAGUAAAUUUCUACCCAUUUUUUCAGAUAGGGAAACUGAGUCUUAGAGAAGUGAAUAAAAUAACUUGCUAAAGAAAUUGUAGACCAGGAUUCAAAUCUCUGUCGCCUGCUAUAUCAUCUCCCUGAGUAUGUCACAGCUCUCUGAUGCCCAAAACAAGGUAUUUAGUCUUAGAUGCUGAUACUAUCACUGCUACAAUUGGUUAAGAGGCAGAAUUGUUUAGCUGCAUAAGCUGUAGACUCAAUUUAAGUCAUGGCAUCAUAGCUUACUAGUUCUGUGACCUAGGACAAGUUAUUCUUCUUAUCUCAGAUCUCUCUUAGCUAAAAUAAUGAUUAAUAAUGCCCAUGCUGCCUGCCCUAUAUAAUUGUGAAUGUAUUUGUAAAAGUUAAACAAUUUUUUAAAAAGGUAAAGGAUUAUUAUUAUCAAGAGAAGACAAAAACAGAGUGAUAAUUUGUAGUUCUCUGCAGCAUUUGCACAAUACAGUCCCUCUGGACAGAAAGUAUUUGCUCUCCUGAAUAUUGAAAAAUUAAUCUGAUUGAGUUUUAAUGCUAUGGUAAGAUCAUAAGCACAAGUAGAAAUACAAAGUAUAAGUCUCCCUCAAUCCCAAAAAGAGACUUAUGUUGGCAACAAGAGAGUACAGCAAGUAUUCACUGUGACAUUUCUGCAGUACCUAUAGAGCAAAGUAUGUCACAUCCAUUCAUCUCUUCAUUCCUACAUUCAUCCAUUUAUUCAAAACAUAUAUGUGCAUACGUAUGUAUAUAUACACGUACUCGUCAUUUACAGAUAGAGAGAGACAGAGACAGAGGUAGACAGGUUGCAUUAUAUACAAGGUAGUAUAUUAGUUGACAGAUAUAUAAGGGUAAACAAAAUAGUCCCUGCCUUCCUGGAGCUUAUAGAUUAGUUACCAAAAGCAUAUUGAUGGUACAGGAUCUUGUGUUUAUACAAUUCUUUUAAAAUCUUCUAUUCAUUUUUCCUUCAUUACUUCAUUCAAUAUACAUUUAUUGAAUGUGCAUACUCUUCUCACCUCAAUAAACAGAACCUCAGUUUUUCCAAUUGGGCAAAACAAGAAUCAUUAAAUUAUUAUAAUUCUUCUCUUUCUCUUAAAUUCAAUCUAUCAGCAAAUCCUAUCAGCUCUUCCUUCUAAAUAUAGCCCAAUAUGACUGCUUCUCAUCACCUCUACUCCAUUUUGUUCAAAGAAGCCAUUAUCUCUCAAGUAAUUUCAAUAGCUACUUGAUUGGUCUUUCUGCUCCUGCCCAUACUCCACCCCUAUCCUACCCUCUGGGCCCUUGCCGUGAAAACAAGAGCAAAGAAUCAGACACCAGGCCUUCUGAAACAGUUUUUACUGAGAGAAUUUUAUAGUAAAAGGAGCUGUAGCAUGUGUGUCAGUUACCCUUUGCCCAUUGAAUUAUGAGGUAAUGAACAAGGAUCUAACAGGACUGGACAUCCAACUUCAGUCAUUGGGUUGCAGGGUUUUUAAACUUCCUAAUUAGGGAAGCAUCAAAUCUCUACCCUAGUAUGAUCACAGAGAGAUCCAACUAUAGUAACUAUGUCAUGGUAGAAACUUGGCUUCAAUCCUCUUCCACCAUGUGGCAUUCUUCAGUUAGGAGACAGCAGCCUUUCUCCAGGGAUUAGGGUAUAAGGCUUGUAGCUGCCAUUAUAUGAUGUGGCAGAGUAGUGACCUAUUUUGUCACUUCAGCAUCCUACCAGGGUUGAUUGCCUUAAGCAUUUGGUUUCCAUGGAGCUUUAAAAGAAGCCAACACCUUUCUCAGAGGCCAGGUUGAAGGGAAUCAAUAUUGAACAUGAUAAUCCUACCAGUUAUCUAUCUAUAUAACCAAUUCUUUACAUAACAGUGAAAGUGACCCAUUUAAAUCAAAAGUCAGAUCAUGCCCUUCCUCUGUUCCAAGACCUCCAGUGGUUUCCCACAUCACUUGAAGUAAAAUCCAAAGCCCUUACUUUAGCCUAGGAAGCUCUACAAGAUCUGCCUACCCUUCCGCUACCUCUCUAACUUCAUUCUUGCCAUUCUGUGUGUCGCUUACUCCCUCUCCAGCCACACUGUGCCUCUAACACCCUCAUUGAGUUUUGCAUUUGCUACUCCUUCUGCCUGGAACAUUUUCUCCCCAAAUACCCACAAGGUAGUAAAAGUGUCUCCAGUGAGAAAUCACAAAGAUAUGGAAACCAAAUUAAACUACCUGUCUUUUAUAGAAACCCCCAAUCUAGUAACUUAACAUAAAAAAUAAAAUCCUGGCCCAUUGAUACCCCUGGGGCACUUAGAAGAAGCAAAACCAAAACCAUUUUGGAUAAAAAUUCUUAUAAGCUAGGCCACAUGGGAUUCCCAUAGGAGGGAAAAAGAGUUCCACUAAAGAUAUUACUGUCAGGAAAUGACUAUUUUCAUGUUUCUACAUGAUUAGGGCUUUCUGAGCAAAUUUUACUAGAUGCUGAGUUAGAUGGCAGGCCUUAGAAGUUAAAUGAUGACAGAAUAGAUAGCAAGAGAAACCCUGACAGACUUACCUUCCUGGGAGUAUGUGUUUAUAUUUCAAAGGGGGAUGAAACACAAGAGACAUUCCAGGUACUGUAAACCCAGAGGCAAUAAGUAGUCAUAUCUUCUCCCUGGAGACAUGUAUUUACAUUCCAAAGGGUAAGAACCCAUAACCUUCCCUUUCUCUUUCCUUUCUUCUUGUUUACAUUAGAGAGAUUGGGUUUCUGUCCCUCUCUCUUGAGGGGAGUGUGACAGUUGUUUAAACUAUCCUAUAUAAACUGCCAGAUUCAUAAUCUCAGGAUUCCUCUCCUGCAGCACAGACUUCAAUACAUGAAGAGCGACUUUGGCUCUCAUCACAUCACCCUAAAAGGAGGAAAGAAUUGGGGCAAGGAGUACUAAUGCAGUUAUGGAUGUAAGAAAUAAUAGCUAUGAUCUCUGCUCCAGAAACUUCAUGUUUACAUUCAGGACGAUACAAAAUAAACAUAGAUUUUUUUUUUAAAGUAUCAUUUAAAAUUAAAUUCACAAAACACAUGGGAAAAUAAUCACCAUGAAAGACAGGAGACACAUCAAACAGGAGGAUGAGCACCCUAGAAACUUGAGAAAAGAGAACAAUCUGAAAUAGACUAAAAUAACAAGAUUUAAGUUGACUAAAAAGAUAAAAGUUAUAAGCCAUAAGGAAGAAAUAAGACAGCAAGAAGAAAAACAUAGGCAAAUUUGAAAAAGAAUUAUAGAGAAAUUCUAAAUACAAAAAAUAUAGCCAAUGAAAUUAAUUCAAUGGACUCAAUGGCUUUAGUUAGAAAACAAAUUAGACAGCAUUGACAGAAGCACUAAUGAAGAGAAAAAAUCAGAUAUAAGAUUCUUAUCCAAAAUGCAAUACAGAGAGAUAAAGACAUGGAAAGAAAAAAAGAAAGGUUAAGAGAUAUGAAGAUUCGAAUGAUCAAAUCCAACAUAUGUCUAAGAGAAGUCCCAGAAAACAAAUAGCAACAACGUGGGAGAGGCAAUACUCAAUGAGAUAAAGACAGAAUUUUUUCAAGAAUUGAUGAAAAGACAUGAUUUUUUUCAUGUUGAUUAAGCACAUAAAAUUAAAAAGAAACAAAUAAAUCCUAGACGUCAAUAACAAAGAAAUAUAAAAACAACCUUCAAUUUAAAAAAAAAUUACCUACAAUGAACCACAAUAUGACUUCUUAAGAGCAACAACAGACACUAGAUAAUAAUGGAAUAAAAUCCACAAAAUUAGAGAAAUUAUUUAUCAAGCUGAAUUUUAUGCCCAUUUAAGUAAUGAUUUAAGGGUGCAGAAAGAAAUAAAAAACAGUUUCAAACAGUUUUAAACAGCAAAGGCAAUGUUUACAAUUAGCGUAUACUUGUUGAAAGAACUAUUAAAGAAAAUAUUUAAUGAAGAAAUAAAUUGAACACAAAAGAAGAGAGGCCAGGAUGAAGAAAUAAAUUAGUAAACGUGAGUAAAUUUGAAAAAACAUUGACUGCAAAGCAAAUUAUUAAAAUAAUGACCACUUUUUAAGGGUUUAAAAAUUAAGGUGAAAAUAAUAUAUUAGACAGUUUAUGAAUGAAAAACAUAAAGUGUUCCAUAGUUCAGAAAAAGGGUAGAGAUACUGGUUGAAUUUGGAGUUUACUGAGUCAAACAUGCAUGUUAAAAAUAUAAAGAUGACUCAAUAGAAAUGGAAAUUACAGCUUUUACUAUUUUUUUUU